CGGCGACGGGUGAGUAACACGUGGAUAACCUACCUAUAAGACUGGGAUAACUUCGGGAAACCGGAGCUAAUACCGGAUAAUAUAUUGAACCGCAUGGUUCAAUAGUGAAAGACGGUUUUGCUGUCACGUUAUAGAUGGAUCCGCGCCGCAUUAGCUAGUUGGUAAGGUAACGGCUUACCAAGGCAACGAUGCGUAGCCGACCUGAGAGGGUGAUCGGCCACACUGGAACUGAGACACGGUCCAG
RNAcentral lists this ribosomal RNA (244 nucleotides) under uncultured Staphylococcus sp. RNAcentral describes it as "partial 16S ribosomal RNA". It matches the Rfam family "Bacterial small subunit ribosomal RNA", at positions 102 to 334 of the family's 1533-position model. Lineage: Bacteria; Bacillati; Bacillota; Bacilli; Caryophanales; Staphylococcaceae. The record is from RNAcentral.